Molecule: small nucleolar RNA, 120 nt
Filed under: Echinops telfairi (small Madagascar hedgehog)
Lineage: Eukaryota; Metazoa; Chordata; Mammalia; Afrosoricida; Tenrecidae
Description: Small nucleolar RNA SNORA61 (ENSETEG00000025000.1)
Source: RNAcentral
AUCCUUCUGAUGCUCUACCCCUUGAAUCUAAAUAAUGGUCUGAGCAGCUAAAAGGAGGAAAAGUAAAACUGAAGUGGACUUGCUAGUCUUUAGUGACAUACAUGUUCAUUUCAAAUAUAU